RNAcentral lists this ribosomal RNA (264 nucleotides) under uncultured prokaryote. RNAcentral describes it as "partial 16S ribosomal RNA". It matches the Rfam family "Bacterial small subunit ribosomal RNA", at positions 524 to 787 of the family's 1533-position model. The record is from RNAcentral.
UACGGAGGAUCCGAGCGUUAUCCGGAAUUAUUGGGUUUAAAGGGUGCGUAGGCGGCUUUUUAAGUCAGCGGUGAAAUUUUGCAGCUUAACUGUAACAGUGCCGUUGAUACUGGGGAGCUAGGAUUUGGUUGCUGUGGGUGGAAUGUGUGGUGUAGCGGUGAAAUGCUUAGAGAUCACACAGAAUAUCGAUUGCGAAGGCAGCCCACAAAGCCAAGAUUGACGCUGAGGCACGAAAGUGUGGGGAUCAAACAGGAUUAGAUACCU